UCUGCCCGCUGGCGGCGUGCCUAAUACAUGCAAGUCGAGCGAACAGACGAGGAGCUUGCUCCUCUGACGUUAGCGGCGGACGGGUGAGUAACACGUGGAUAACCUACCUAUAAGACUGGGAUAAAUUCGGGAAACCGGAGCUAAUACCGGAUAAUAUAUUGAACCGCAUGGUUCAAUAGUGAAAGACGGUUUUGCUGUCACUUAUAGAUGGAUCCGCGCCGCAUUAGCUAGUUGGUAAGGUAACGGCUUACCAAGGCAACGAUGCGUAGCCGACCUGAGAGGGUGAUCGGCCACACUGGAACUGAGACACGGUCCAGACUCCUACGGGAGGCAGCAGUAGGGAAUCUUCCGCAAUGGGCGAAAGCCUGACGGAGCAACGCCGCGUGAGUGAUGAAGGUCUUCGGAUCGUAAAACUCUGUUAUUAGGGAAGAACAAAUGUGUAAGUAACUAUGCACGUCUUGACGGUACCUAAUCAGAAAGCCACGGCUAACUACGUG
This 497-nucleotide ribosomal RNA is filed under the name uncultured bacterium. RNAcentral's name for it is "partial 16S ribosomal RNA". It matches the Rfam family "Bacterial small subunit ribosomal RNA", at positions 34 to 507 of the family's 1533-position model. The record is from RNAcentral.